GCAAGGUAAAACUCAAAGAAUGACGGGGGCCGCACAAGCGGUGGAGCAUGUGGUUUAAUUCGAUGCAACGGAAGAACCUUACCUGGUCUUGACAUCCACAGAACUUUCCAGAGAUGGAUUGGUGCCUUCGGGAACUGUGAGACAGGUGCUGCAUGGCUGUCGUCAGCUCGUGUUGUGAAAUGUUGGGUUAAGUCCCGCAACGAGCGCAACCCUUAUCCUUUGUUGCCAGCGGUUAGGCCGGGAACUCAAAGGAGACUGCCAGUGAUAAACUGGAGGAAGGUGGGGAUGACGUCAAGUCAUCAUGGCCCUUACGACCAGGGCUACACACGUGCUACAAUGGCAUAUACAAAGAGAAGCGACCUCGCGAGAGCAAGCGGACCUCAUAAAGUAUGUCGUAGUCCGGAUUGGAGUCUGCAACUCGACUCCAUGAAGUCGGAAUCGCUAGU
RNAcentral lists this ribosomal RNA (446 nucleotides) under Klebsiella variicola. RNAcentral describes it as "bacterial SSU rRNA". It matches the Rfam family "Bacterial small subunit ribosomal RNA", at positions 888 to 1339 of the family's 1533-position model. The record is from RNAcentral. Lineage: Bacteria; Pseudomonadati; Pseudomonadota; Gammaproteobacteria; Enterobacterales; Enterobacteriaceae.